UGGGGAAUCUUGCGCAAUGGGCGAAAGCCUGACGCAGCGACGCCGCGUGGGUGAUGAAGGCCUUCGGGUUGUAAAGCCCUGUGGGGAGAGAAGAAGAGCUCUGUGUGAAUAGCGCGGAGUGUGACGGUAUCUCCUUAGCAAGCACCGGCUAACUCUGUGCCAGCAGCCGCGGUAAGACAGAGGGUGCAAACGUUGUUCGGAAUUACUGGGCGUAAAGCGCGUGUAGGCGGCUAUGCAAGUCGGAUGUGAAAGCCCCGGGCUCAACCCGGGAAGUGCAUACGAUACUGCGAAGCUGGAGUCUCGGAGAGGAUGGUGGAACUCUCGGUGUAGAGGUGAAAUUCGUAGAUAUCGGGAAGAACACCUGUGGCGAAGGCGGCCAUCUGGACGGUGACUGACGCUG
RNAcentral lists this ribosomal RNA (400 nucleotides) under uncultured bacterium. RNAcentral's name for it is "bacterial SSU rRNA". It matches the Rfam family "Bacterial small subunit ribosomal RNA", at positions 355 to 748 of the family's 1533-position model. The record is from RNAcentral.